Molecule: small nuclear RNA, 108 nt
Organism: Euleptes europaea (tarantolino)
Lineage: Eukaryota; Metazoa; Chordata; Lepidosauria; Squamata; Sphaerodactylidae
Source: RefSeq, a predicted model, not a curated record
UCCUGGCUAGCUUCGGAAAUACACUAAAAUUGGAAUGAUACAGAGAAGAUUAGCAUGGGCCCCUGUGCAAGGAUGACUUGUUACCCUAUUAAUGUAAAGGAGAUGGUA